GAUGAACGCUGGCGGCGUGCCUAACACAUGCAAGUCGAGCGGCCGCACGGGUGCUUGCACCCGGUGGCGUGAGGGGCACGGGGGUGAGUUACAUCGGGACAUGUCCUCUAGAGGGGGAUAGCCAGGCGGAAGAAGGGGUGAUACUACCGACGAACUUAGGAUGAAGGAGGGGGCAAUAGGGGCAUAGGGCUUUAGGGUUAGCUGUAGGCUGAUCCGCGCCGGAUUAGCUAGUUGGUAAGGUAAAGGCCUACCAAGGCAACGAUGAGUAGCUGGUCUGAGAGGACGACCGGCCACACUGGGACUGAGACACGGUCCAGACUCCUACGGGAGGCAGCAGUAGGGAAUCUUGGGCAAUGGGCGAAAGCCUGAUCGAGCAACGCCGCGUGAGUGAAGAAGGUCUUCGGGUUGUAAAGCUCUGUUAUCCGGGAAGAAAAACUGUGCCCGAAAACGGGCACGGGAUGACGGUACCUGAUGAGUAAGCCCCGGCUAACUACGUG
This 497-nucleotide ribosomal RNA is filed under the name uncultured bacterium. RNAcentral's name for it is "partial 16S ribosomal RNA". It matches the Rfam family "Bacterial small subunit ribosomal RNA", at positions 28 to 507 of the family's 1533-position model. The record is from RNAcentral.